This 63-nucleotide transfer RNA is filed under the name Coptotermes formosanus (Formosan subterranean termite). RNAcentral's name for it is "tRNA-Ala". Lineage: Eukaryota; Metazoa; Arthropoda; Insecta; Blattodea; Rhinotermitidae. The record is from RNAcentral.
GGGACUAUAGUUAACAAUAACAUUUGGGUUGCAUUCAAAAAGUGCUGCAAGCAGCUAGCCUCA